Octodon degus (degu) is the source of this 481-nucleotide long non-coding RNA. RefSeq lists it as uncharacterized. The transcript has 3 exons. Lineage: Eukaryota; Metazoa; Chordata; Mammalia; Rodentia; Octodontidae. The record is from RefSeq and is a predicted model, not a curated record.
CGCCGCCAGCGUCUGCUCUUCCGCCCGGUCCGUCGCCCCCGGCGCAGUCCUGCGAAGUUCGGAACUCGACGCUCGCUUGGCUGCCCUUCUUUUGGUCCGCCCGACCGUCCGUUUGGGCCUCUGGAAGCCGCCGCGGACGCCUCACAGGGGGCCCUUACCUGUUCCGCUCCACUCGCGGCCAUCUUGGAAGUGGGAAGCAGCUGGGCGGAGGAAGGGGUGCGAACGGGUAGGCACCAGGCGUGAAGAGCCGAGCGGCAGAGCGCAUCGAUGGGGCACCGCUGGCCAACAGGUGUCAGAGCCGGAAGCGGACUCAAACUGGGAAAUCUCCCCGAGGCCUUGGUGUAGGUCAACCGGAGCUCAGGUGGGUCCAGGUCGCGGAGAAAAUUCAAGCCCCCGAGUGAGGUCACGCUAGGAGUCUCUCUUAGCUGGUUAAUUGCUCUUCAUCCCCCUUGUAGGAUGUGCGCAAUGCAAGCAGGCCCAG